AACGAACGCUGGCGGCAGGCCUAACACAUGCAAGUCGAACGCCCCGCAAGGGGAGUGGCAGACGGGUGAGUAACGCGUGGGAACCUACCUAGAGGUGCGGAAUAGCCCAGGGAAACUUGGAGUAAUACCGCAUAAGCCCGCAAGGGGAAAGAUUUAUCGCCUUUAGAUGGGCCCGCGUCUGAUUAGCUAGUUGGUGAGGUAAUGGCUCACCAAGGCGACGAUCAGUAGCUGGUUUGAGAGAAUGACCAGCCACACUGGGACUGAGACACGGCCCAGACUCCUACGGGAGGCAGCAGUGGGGAAUCUUGGACAAUGGGGGCAACCCUGAUCCAGCCAUGCCGCGUGAGUGACGAAGGCCAUAGGGUUGUAAAGCUCUUUU
This 379-nucleotide ribosomal RNA is filed under the name uncultured bacterium. RNAcentral describes it as "bacterial SSU rRNA". It matches the Rfam family "Bacterial small subunit ribosomal RNA", at positions 29 to 437 of the family's 1533-position model. The record is from RNAcentral.